Molecule: ribosomal RNA, 610 nt
Filed under: Pseudonocardia autotrophica
Lineage: Bacteria; Bacillati; Actinomycetota; Actinomycetes; Pseudonocardiales; Pseudonocardiaceae
Description: bacterial SSU rRNA
Rfam family: Bacterial small subunit ribosomal RNA
Source: RNAcentral
UGUGGGAAAAAGUUUUCGGCUGGGGGAUGGGCCCGCGGCCUAUCAGCUUGUUGGUGGGGUGAUGGCCUACCAAGGCGGUGACGGGUAGCCGGCCUGAGAGGGCGACCGGCCACACUGGGACUGAGACACGGCCCAGACUCCUACGGGAGGCAGCAGUGGGGAAUAUUGCGCAAUGGGCGGAAGCCUGACGCAGCGACGCCGCGUGGGGGAUGACGGCCUUCGGGUUGUAAACCUCUUUCGCCAGGGACGAAGAGCAAUUGACGGUACCUGGAGAAGAAGCACCGGCCAACUACGUGCCAGCAGCCGCGGUAACACGUAGGGUGCGAGCGUUGUCCGGAAUUAUUGGGCGUAAAGAGCUCGUAGGCGGUGUGUCGCGUCGAUCGUGAAAACUUGGGGCUUAACUCUGAGCGUGCGGUCGAUACGGGCAUCACUUGAGUUCGGCAGGGGAGACUGGAAUUCCUGGUGUAGCGGUGAAAUGCGCAGAUAUCAGGAGGAACACCGGUGGCGAAGGCGGGUCUCUGGGCCGAUACUGACGCUGAGGAGCGAAAGCGUGGGGAGCGAACAGGAUUAGAUACCCUGGUAGUCCACGCCGUAAACGUGCGCAAAGCCA